UGUAUAUUAAAGUUGCUGCGGUUAAAAAAGCUCGUAGUUGGAUUUCGGAGUUGUUAUCUGAACCUUCUCGCCCUAAAAAGUGGGGGGGCUAAGGUAGCAGUAGUUUUCAUCAUAGUCCAUCAGGAUACUCUCUUGAUGUGUACUGGGUGUUAACCUCCUUUUUUUCUGGUACUUGCUAUCCAGCAAUGGGUAGUUUUGUCCAGAUAGUUUACUUUGAAAAAAUUAGAGUGUUCAAAGCAGGCAUAAUUGGCAUCAUGAAUACAUUAGCAUGGGAUAAUAGAAUAUGACAUUGGUCUUAUUUUGUUGGUUUCUAAGGCCAAAGUAAUGAUUGAUAGGGAUAGUUGGGGCCGCUCGUAUUGAGUUGUCAGAGGUGAAAUUCUAGGAUUUACUCAAAGACGAACUAAUGCGAAAGCAUUCGGCAAGGAUGUUUUCAUUAAUCAAGAACGAAAGUUGGGGAUCGAAGAUGAUCAGAUACCGUCGUAGUCUCAACCAUAAACUAUGUCAACCGAGGAUCCGGUAG
Molecule: ribosomal RNA, 520 nt
Filed under: uncultured eukaryote
Lineage: Eukaryota
Description: partial 18S ribosomal RNA
Rfam family: Eukaryotic small subunit ribosomal RNA
Source: RNAcentral